UCGCCUGUAGCUCAGAGGAAAGAGCAACCGCCUUCUAAGCGGUUGGUCGCUGGUUCGAAUCCAGCCAGACGAGCCA
RNAcentral lists this transfer RNA (76 nucleotides) under Enterobacter cloacae. RNAcentral describes it as "tRNA-Arg". It matches the Rfam family "tRNA". From Rfam's summary of the family: Transfer RNA (tRNA) molecules are approximately 80 nucleotides in length. Their secondary structure includes four short double-helical elements and three loops (D, anti-codon, and T loops). RNAcentral also lists the same sequence under 8 other names. Lineage: Bacteria; Pseudomonadati; Pseudomonadota; Gammaproteobacteria; Enterobacterales; Enterobacteriaceae. The record is from RNAcentral.